GCGCUUGCGGGGUUGUGGGAGUUUCUUUGACUAGUCUGCCGGCUGGUCGGCGAGUGAGAAACCGUAUGGGUAGGCGAAGGGCAUGCGAAAGGCCCGGCGUAGAGGGUAAGACCCCCGUAGCUGAAAUCUGUACGGCUUGUUUGGUGACUUCCCAAGUAGCACGGGGCCCGAGAAAUCUCGUGUGAAUCUGGCGGGACCACCCGCUAAGCCUAAAUAUUCCCUGGUGACCGAUAGCGGAUAGUACCGUGAGGGAAUGGUGAAAAGUACCGCGGGAGCGGAGUGAAAUAGUACCUGAAACCGUGUGCCUACAAGCCGUGGGAGCGUCGCACAGGCUUUGUCUGUGUCGUGACUGCGUGCCUUUUGAAGAAUGAGCCUGCGAGUUUGCGGUGUGUUGCGAGGUUAACCCGUGUGGGGGAGCCGUAGCGAAAGCGAGUCCGAAUAGGGCGUUUUAGUAGCGCGCUCAAGACCCGAAGCGGAGUGAUCUAGCCAUGGGCAGGUUGAAGCGGCUGUAAGAGGUCGUGGAGGACCGAACCCACCAGGGUUGAAAACCUGGGGGAUGACCUGUGGUUAGGGGUGAAAGGCCAAUCAAACUCCGUGAUAGCUGGUUCUCCCCGAAAUGCAUUUAGGUGCAGCGUCGUGUGUUUCUUGCCGGAGGUAGAGCACUGGAUAGGCGAUGGGCCCUACCGGGUUACUGACCUUAGCCAAACUCCGAAUGCCGGUAAGUGAGAGCGCGGCAGUGAGACUGUGGGGGAUAAGCUCCAUGGUCGAGAGGGAAACAGCCCAGAGCAUCGACUAAGGCCCCUAAGCGUAUGCUAAGUGGGAAAGGAUGUGGAGUCGCAGAGACAACCAGGAGGUUGGCUUAGAAGCAGCCAUCCUUGAAAGAGUGCGUAAUAGCUCACUGGUCAAGUGAUUCCGCGCCGACAAUGUAGCGGGGCUCAAGCGUGUGGUGGAUGGUUCACGAGUGAGAAUGCAGGCAUGAGUAGCGAUUCACACGUGGGAAACGUGUGCGCCGAUUGACUAAGGGUUCCUGGGUCAAGCUGAUCUGCCCAGGGUAAGUCGGGACCUAAGGCGAGGCCGACAGGCGUAGUCGAUGGACAACCGGUUGAUAUUCCGGUACCCGCUUUGAAACGCCCAGUAUCGAAUCCAUUGAUGCUAAGGCCGUGAAGCCGCCCUGGAGCCUUCGGGUAAAGGGGAGUGGUGGAGCCGUCGAUCCAAGGUGGUAGUAGGUAAGUGAUGGGGUGACGCAGGAAGGUAGUCCAGCCCGGGCGGUGGUUGUCCCGGGGUAAGGGUGUAGGGCGUUGUGCAGGUAAAUCCGUGCAACAUGAGGCCUGAGACCUGAUGCCGAGCCGAUUGUGGUGAAGUGGAUGAUCCUAUGCUGUCGAGAAAAGCCUCUAGCGAGUUUCAUGGCGGCCCGUACCCUAAACCGACUCAGGUGGUCUGGUAGAGAAUACCGAGGCGUUCGGGUGAACUAUGGUUAAGGAACUCGGCAAAAUGCCCCCGUAACUUCGGGAGAAGGGGGGCCACACCAGGUGAUGGCACUUGCUGCCGGUAGCUUGGGGUGGCCGCAGAGACCAGCGAGAAGCGACUGUUUACUAAAAACACAGGUCCGUGCGAAGCCGUAAGGCGAUGUAUACGGACUGACGCCUGCCCGGUGCUGGAACGUUAAGGGGACCGGUUAGCUGGCUUUCGGGUUGGCGAGGCUGAGAACUUAAGCGCCAGUAAACGGCGGUGGUAACUAUAACCAUCCUAAGGUAGCGAAAUUCCUUGUCGGGUAAGUUCCGACCUGCACGAAUGGCGUAACGACUUCUCGACUGUCUCAACCAUAGGCCCGGUGAAAUUGCAUUACGAGUAAAGAUGCUCGUUUCGCGCAGCAGGACGGAAAGACCCCGGGACCUUUACUAUAGUUUGAUAUUGGUGUUCGGUUCGGCUUGUGUAGGAUAGGUGGGAGACUGUGAAGCUCAUACGCCAGUAUGGGUGGAGUCGUUGUUGAAAUACCACUCUGGUCGUGCUGGAUGUCUAACCUGGGUCCGUGAUCCGGAUCAGGGACAGUGUCUGAUGGGUAGUUUAACUGGGGCGGUUGCCUCCUAAAGGGUAACGGAGGCGCCCAAAGGUUCCCUCAGCCUGGUUGGUAAUCAGGUGUUGAGUGUAAGUGCACAAGGGAGCUUGACUGUGAGACCGACGGGUCGAGCAGGGACGAAAGUCGGGACUAGUGAUCCGGCGGUGGCUUGUGGAAGCGCCGUCGCUCAACGGAUAAAAGGUACCCCGGGGAUAACAGGCUGAUCUUCCCCAAGAGUCCAUAUCGACGGGAUGGUUUGGCACCUCGAUGUCGGCUCGUCGCAUCCUGGGGCUGGAGUCGGUCCCAAGGGUUGGGCUGUUCGCCCAUUAAAGCGGUACGCGAGCUGGGUUUAGAACGUCGUGAGACAGUUCGGUCCCUAUCCGCUGUGCGCGUAGGAGUCUUGAGAAGGGCUGUCCCUAGUACGAGAGGACCGGGACGGACGAACCUCUGGUGUGCCAGUUGUUCUGCCAAGGGCAUGGCUGGUUGGCUACGUUCGGGAGGGAUAACCGCUGAAAGCAUCUAAGCGGGAAGCCUGCUUCGAGAUGAGGACUCCCACCCCC
Molecule: ribosomal RNA, 2616 nt
Filed under: Streptomyces odonnellii
Lineage: Bacteria; Bacillati; Actinomycetota; Actinomycetes; Kitasatosporales; Streptomycetaceae
Description: bacterial LSU rRNA
Rfam family: Bacterial large subunit ribosomal RNA
Source: RNAcentral